UUAAAGGUACCCGUACCGCAAACCGACACAGGUGGGUGAGGAGAGUAUCCUAAGGCCCGCGAGAGAACUGUUGUUAAGGAACUCGGCAAAAUGACCCCGUAACGUAGGGAUAAGGGGUGCCACCAUCUGGUGGCCGCAGAGAAUAGGCCCAAGCGACUGUUUACCAAAAACAUAGGUUUCUGCUAAGUCGCAAGACGAUGUAUAGGAGCUGACGCCUGCCCGGUGCUGGAA
Molecule: ribosomal RNA, 231 nt
Filed under: Clostridioides difficile
Lineage: Bacteria; Bacillati; Bacillota; Clostridia; Peptostreptococcales; Peptostreptococcaceae
Description: partial 23S ribosomal RNA
Rfam family: Bacterial large subunit ribosomal RNA
Source: RNAcentral